RNAcentral lists this ribosomal RNA (301 nucleotides) under uncultured bacterium. RNAcentral describes it as "partial 16S ribosomal RNA". It matches the Rfam family "Bacterial small subunit ribosomal RNA", at positions 509 to 807 of the family's 1533-position model. The record is from RNAcentral.
CAGCAGCCGCGGGAACACGUAGGGUGCGAGCGUUAAUCGGAAUUACUGGGCGUAAAGCGUGCGCAGGCGGUUCGUUAAGACAGAUGUGAAAUCCCCGGGCUUAAUCCGGGAACUGCAUUUGUGACUGGCGAGCUAGAGUAUGGCAGAGGGGGGUAGAAUUCCACGUGUAGCAGUGAAAUGCGUAGAGAUGUGGAGGAAUACCGAUGGCGAAGGCAGCCCCCUGGGCCAAUACUGACGCUCAUGCACGAAAGCGUGGGGAGCAAACAGGAUUAGAGACCCCUGUAGUCCCUGUCUCUUAUAC